GACAAAGGUUCACUGGGGGAAAGCUAGCUCUCCAUUGUAGUAGCAGAGUUGGUGAAGUCAUCUAAGCUGUACUGGAUCAAGUUUUGUUGAUAUGGUACUUAAUUUGACGGCUGGAAUAAUUGACCUCGAAACUGAACAAGUACCAUGGCUACUCAACGUUAGAUGCCUCAUGCUAGACGUCUUGAAUCCUAGAUGCCUGUAUGCUAACAAGAUGCUUCUACACUGGAUAUCAUUGUGAUAGAUGCCUGGUGACACCUGGAUGAUAAAUGCCUGUAUGUUAGUGUCUCUUUCCCAGAAUCCUAGAUGCCUGUAUGCUGAUUAGAUGCCUCUACGUUAGAUACCGUUGUGAUAGAUGCAUGCUGACACCUCGAUGCAAUGCCAGUAUAUUGCAUGCCUGUACGCUUGAUGUCUUUAAGCCGGAUGUCGGUAUGUUGGAUUACCUCUAUGCGUGAUGCUCCUAUUUCUUCACAGAAUGUGAAUCCAAUUGACAAUCCCCAACUUCGAUAAGGGUACAAGUUUUUAAUAUGACUUUAAGCACACAAGUUUAAAUCUUUCUAUAAACAGUGGGGCUAUAUUAACUUGCAUCGAACGCCUCCAUGACUCAGCACACAGAUGGGGGCACAAUCAAAGUGAUGAAGUGUCAGGGCAAUGAGAUGACAACUAUUUCAGUGUACAAUUUGUUCAGCGGGGGUGGAAUUAUGGGGUGUUGCAAACCGUUUUUGGGGAGUGUGACACCUCCCACCCACAGCCCACCUUCGAUAUGCCACUGAAAAGUAAGAAUCCUGUAGAAUCACUUUCACCCUGGUACUUUUUCUGUUUUGUUUUAUUAUUCUGGGAGUUCGUAUAUUAUUAAGGGAUAUUGAGGAGAAAAUUGAUCUGGGGUAUAAUGUCAGGGUUAAUUCAAGUUGUCAAUGCAUUAUAUAUUUCAUUCAUUAAUGUUCAGCUUAUCAGUUGUUUAGGGAAAAUUAACUUUCAUAGCCCAUAAUUCUCUCUUGACAUAUUUGACCUACAUUUUUGUUUUGAAUUAUGUUUUUUUUUCUAAUUUUGAAAUAUAACCCUGAAAGUUUUAAAAAAAAAAAUAAAUAAAUGAAUCCAAAGUCUAAUGCAAAAUGUACAUCACACUUUUUAAACCAGACUCUGAACAAGGAGUGAUUUGAACUUCAGAUCACAUAAAAUUAAAGAGUAUGUAUCAUAUUCCCAGUGCUCCAUUGAUUUCCAAUCAUCAUACAUUUUAACUUCUGACUGUACAUAAAAAAGGAAAAUGACUUUUAUGUGGUUGAUGUGACUCAGAAAGCAAUUAUUAAAAAGAAAAAAAAAAACCUCUCUAAGAUUAUUUCAAGAAAUAACCGUCUGUAAACUUCCAUCAAAGUAAAGUGAUAUAAGUUGGGAUCAGUCACUGAUGAAAAAUAACUAACUUCGUUUUAAAGAUUUGCUGAUAGCGAGUGCUAUAUCUAUCAGUACUUCUAAUGCCAUCGACAUAUGUGAUGAAUUCAUCUGUCACUCGGUUGUUGUUCUUCUACGUAUUAACCUCAAAGUUUGAAUGAUUUUGUAACGUCUGAUAUAAUUUUAUCAAAUUCAAGCAUAUAUCACUUGAUUUAAAGUAUAAUAAUCAAAUUAUGAAGUGUUUAUAUAUAAAGAAAUCUGUAUAUAUAAAGAAAUCUUGAAUAAUGCAGAUAGGCUCAGAACUAAAGAAUGCAUAAAAUGUGUGUAAAUUUAUCAUAUUUGAAUUUCCAUUGCAAUUUAAAAAAAAAUAAACAUAUAAUUUUACCUGGUCUUACUUUAAUGGAAAUAAUUAUCCAUUGGAACCAAAAAACAAUUAAAAUAUUUCUUUAAUUUGUUUUAUCUAGUUUAUGAGAAGUCAACCAUUCUCAAAUAAACCACCAAUGGAUUUAUUUCAUAUCAUUAUUUAUUUGGUCUUUCAAAUAUUGUACACAACAGAAAGUUUAUGCUGCUGGGUUGGUUUCUGUAAGUCAUGUAUCUCUGCUACAAAAAAAACAAAAAAACUAAAACAAGACGUACUCAUUGCAUUUGUUUUAUCUACGUUUAUGAGAAGUCAACCAUUCUCAAAUAAACAACCAAUGGAUUUCUUUAAUUUCAUUAUUUAUUCGGUUUUAGAAAUGUACAUAACAGGAAAUUUAUGCUGUUGGGUUGGUUUCUGUAAGCCAUGUAUCUGUGCUACAAAAAAAAACAAGUACUCAUUACAUGUACAUAUUUUUUUUAUAUGUAAUUGUAAUAAAAAAAUGUUGAGUCAUGUCUUUACUACUGUAAAAAGAUGACUGGCCCAGACGUUUCCUAAAAAACGUACACAACCCACUAAUUAAAAGCCGUGUUCAAGUGAAUUUACAUGAUGUCUAAACAACAUUGAGCAGAAUCAAACAAAAUCUGUUUACAUGUAGGAUAGUUUUAUUAAAAUGCUUUGAGGUUUAACUUACCCAUGUUAAAAGUGCGAUCACAUCCUAACCAUGUGACUGGUUUUGGCAAAACCCUACAUUUUCGCAAUCUCUAAUUUCGCGCUAACACCCAAAACGACAAAAACAAAAAAAAAACAAAAAAACAUAAAUUUCGGGUUUUUGCAGUUAUAUCAAAGCAGAUACAUUGGAAGAACAUUUCUGCAAAAUAUUAAUUGCUAAAUCCAACUCAAAAGCAUAUUAAAAUUAUUAUUAAAAUACAAACCCUAAUAUUAAAUUGUUGAUUUUGGAAUUUUUGAAGCUGUUUUCUCAAAACCUCGGCUAAUAUCCAGUUAAUUAAAUAUUCAUAACUUCGCUAAUACUCAAGCAAUUUCAAUCAAAUAGACACUAUUUUAAAUAAGAAUUCAUGCAGAAUUUUAAAAAUACCAAAAAAGUUAAUAUUGAAUUUUCCCAACAAACGGUGGAUUUUGUCAAAGACGGUCACAUAUUCCAUGAUGAAAAUGCAACCUUACUAAUUUAUAUAUGAAAAUUAAUUUUAAAACAAAAUUUAUUGAAAAAAAAGAAGAUCAACGUCCAUCAUGGACACAAAAUCAGCCUUAAUUAUUUCUUUAUAUAUAAAAGAGGUAAAGAAGUAAAAAAAAAAAAUUGAAAUAAGCCUUUAAAUUUAAAAAAGAAAAAAAAUUUAAUACUAAAUAAUGAUGGGGCAUGACAAAAUACUCUAAGAAAUUAUUCCCAACUUGGGGCCUCUACAUGGAUGGAUCAUUCCUUAAUAAUAUUAGUAUUCCAUAUUAUAUUUCUUAUGUUAGUCAUUAACAAUUGUGUUUCAAUUGAAUAUAUAUUUAUAUCUUAAGUUACUAUUUUACAAGCAAAUCCUAAGUAUUAUUACAUUAUUAUACAAAGUUGGCAAAUAUCUCUAUCCUUGAACCACAUACAUUUCUUCAAUAUAAACUGCUUUUUUUUUAUACUUCUAUUAUGUUCAUUCACCAUCAGCUGUUUGAGCCACAGCUGCCAUGCUGUACUGUAAUUUGUAAUGCCUUACCAGAAACUGUAAGACAGUCAAGCCCUCUGAUAACUUUCAAAAAAAGAACUAUAUUUAAAGCAAUUUUAUAUUGAUCUGCAUUGUCUGUUUCAUGGGUGACAUAUAUAUAUUUUUUUUCUGUCAAGAGGUUUUAUCUAUGGUGGCUACCCCAAUUUUCCUCAUUUUCAAGAUUAGUUACUACUCAUUGCAAAUAAGUAGGGGAAGCUUCCAAAAAAGGUUCCCCAAGCUUCUCCACUAAAAACCUGGUAAGCAAAAAUAUCCUCAACCUAGGUAAAAAAGAAAAAAAAAAAAAAUUUAGAAUAAAAAGGAAAGAUAAUUUUUACUUUUCAUGUUCCCGAACUGUUGAAAUUAAGCAUUUUAUAAUCGAUUAAAUUAGUCCUCUAAUCUGUUAAAAGGCCGUCCCUUCCAGUGGUUUCGCCCAGGCUGGCCACCAGACCCUCAGGAAAUGGGCCCGGCUAGCAAAGCUGCCUUGGGGCCCAUAGCCGCUCUCGGCAGCCUGGCAUUAAUGUUUUCAUCUUCCUUUUCGAUAAUAAAUACUGUACCGUAAUAAUGCUAGAAAGUACCAAGUUUAUAUACCGUAGUUUCAACAUUGCAAUCAAUGUCAUUCUUGCACCUGAUGAUAACACCUAUAAAUACAGUCAAAAUGAGAAUCUUGUGAAAGCGUAAAGAUGAGUUUGUUUGUUUGUGAGAAACGUGAGUCUAAGGUGAUGUAUUUCAGAUAUUCCAGUCAUUCAUUAUUUAAUUAAUUAGUCUGCCAAUUAUAGCUUACAUCAUUUUUAUGUUCAAUGACUUUAUGACUUUUGAGAGGUCAAUGUUUAUGCUUAACCUACAUGUGUAGGAAGUUCAAUUUGUUUAUUUCUAUGAAAGACUAUGCAAUUAAUAUGGUCCUUGUUUGCUAUUUGUAAAAUCUUCUUAAUAUUUUAGCUUAACUUUGUUUGUAAUUUGUUAGUUUUAAGUGUCUAUUUAUUAUUAUCCCUUUUACUACCAUUUUAAUGUGUAAUAUGUGACCGACUCUGGCAAAACAAGCCAUUUGUAGGAAAAAAAGCAAAAUUUAGUUUUUUUUGUGAUUUUAGAUUCUGCAUGAAUUCUUUAAUUUUAUUUGAUGGAAAUUGGUCGAGUAUUACGGCCGUUCCAAGACAAAACAACGUAACUGCACAAAAAUAUAAUAGCAGGCGUAGUUUUGCCAUAGGAUGGCCGAUUAGCGAAGUUAUGAAUAUUUAAUUUAUUGGAUAUCACCCAUAUAGGUUUUUAAAAAACAGCUUCCAAAGAAAAAUUCCAAAAUCAAUAGUUUAUUAUUAGGAUUUGUAUAUUAAAAAUAAUUUUAAUUUACUUUUCAAUUAAAUUUAGUGAUUGAUAUUUUGCAGAAAUGUUCUUAUAUCUUCUUUUUAUGAUGCAAAAACACGAAAAUGUUAAAUUCUGAUUUUCAAACAUUUUGGGUGUUUGUGUGAAAUUAUAAAUUGUGACAAAUGGCUGGGUUUACCACACAUAUAUCUUUAUAUCUGUAAUUUUUUUUUUGUGUAAAUUUUACACAAUUUAUUCGUUGGCUAUGUAAGUUAUAUUUUGAAUCUAUUUUGAAAUGUUCACUUAUUAAUAUUAUCAAUGUGAGAAUGUGGAGUUCUAAAUCUUACAUUAUUUCACUAUUUGAAAUGUCUAAUUUUGUAUAUUCAAGUUAGAUAUUAAGUUACAGUUGAACAUUUGAAUGAGAAAAGGCUGCCAAUUCAAUAAUGCCUUUCAUUUUGUAUUCUUUGGCAUUGGCCAUUAAAUUGUA
Molecule: long non-coding RNA, 5215 nt
Organism: Anneissia japonica
Lineage: Eukaryota; Metazoa; Echinodermata; Crinoidea; Comatulida; Comatulidae
Exons: 3
Source: RefSeq, a predicted model, not a curated record